AGUGAUGCAGUCACUGCAAUCAAUGGGUCCGGAUUCUCUCCUUCACCCAUUGUCUCAUUCUCCAAAUCCUAACCGGUUAGAUCAAUCUUGCGGUUAAAAUUUAUUUUGACAAUAAAAGCUAGAAAACAAUUCUUUGCCUUUUGACUAAAUCCUAAAUUUGAACCAGUGAAAUAGAUAUCCUCUUCCUGCGAACGAUUCACACAACACCACCAACUUGGGCGGCGCAAGCAGCGGCACAGCGGUGGGGCGAAGCAGCGGCGCUGUGGUCGGAGAUGACGCAGCGGCGCCUAUGGUUGGAGACGACUAGCGGCGAGAGACGACGGGUGAAUGAUAAAAACAUGAAAUUUCUUUCCUUCCUUAUUCUAGAUUUGUUUGUUUCUACCUUUCUCUAUUGAUUUUGUUUCUUUUGUAUUUAUUGACAGGAAGAAAGUGAAAUUAUUGAAGCACAAUGGAGAAAAUUGAUUUUAUUUUUUUCUCCUUUUUGUUUUGAAUUUGUUGACAAAUAAGAAGGAAGAUAGUGAAGAUAUUGAUUUUGUUUCUUUCGUAUUAUACUGAUAAAAUUGCAGAAUGUGCUUAACAAUGAAUAUGCAUGACUCAAUUUCUUGCCUUUGGAUGCACUACUUUGUGGUUUUGGAUGAAGCUUGAAAUUGUUUUCAACUGGUGUAUUGAUGUAGUGUUUUGUUGCUUUGGAAGAGAUAUAGAUUAAUGAUAAGUGGUGAAGUUAGGAACAUUGUACAGUUAUCAUAUUAUAAAAGGGGCCAAUGGUUGUAAAAGGAGCUUGGUUUGGUUUAUUGCUACUCUAUUGUAAAAAUUUCAUAUUGAAUAAAUGAGGUUGUUUUGUUCUCAAAUUACUUUGUCUCUAAAGCGAUGUCUCAGCUUUAGGAUUCUUC
RNAcentral lists this long non-coding RNA (890 nucleotides) under Trifolium pratense (red clover). RNAcentral's name for it is "long non-coding RNA (TPRA_LNC004615)". The record is from RNAcentral. Lineage: Eukaryota; Viridiplantae; Streptophyta; Magnoliopsida; Fabales; Fabaceae.